This 347-nucleotide ribosomal RNA is filed under the name uncultured Streptacidiphilus sp. RNAcentral's name for it is "bacterial SSU rRNA". It matches the Rfam family "Bacterial small subunit ribosomal RNA", at positions 555 to 899 of the family's 1533-position model. Lineage: Bacteria; Bacillati; Actinomycetota; Actinomycetes; Kitasatosporales; Streptomycetaceae. The record is from RNAcentral.
UGGGCGUAAAGAGCUCGUAGGCGGCUUGUCGCGUCGGAUGUGAAAGCCCGGGGCUUAACCCCGGGUCUGCAUUCGAUACGGGCAGGCUGGAGUGUGGUAGGGGAGAUCGGAAUUCCUGGUGUAGCGGUGAAAUGCGCAGAUAUCAGGAGGAACACCGGUGGCGAAGGCGGAUCUCUGGGCCAUUACUGACGCUGAGGAGCGAAAGCGUGGGGAGCGAACAGGAUUAGAUACCCUGGUAGUCCACGCCGUAAACGUUGGGCACUAGGUGUGGGUCACAUUCCACGUGGUCCGCGCCGCAGCUAACGCAUUAAGUGCCCCGCCUGGGGAGUACGGCCGCAAGGCUAAAA